RNAcentral lists this ribosomal RNA (522 nucleotides) under uncultured bacterium. RNAcentral's name for it is "bacterial SSU rRNA". It matches the Rfam family "Bacterial small subunit ribosomal RNA", at positions 325 to 862 of the family's 1533-position model. The record is from RNAcentral.
CACGGGGGGACUCCUUCGGGAGGCAGCAGCAAGGAAUGUUUGGCAGUGGGCGCAAGCCUGACCGAGCAACGCCGCGUGGAGGAUGACGGCCUUCGGGUUGUAAACUCCUUUGAGGUGGGAUGAAACGGACAGUACCACCAAAACAAACCCCGGCUAACUUUGUUCCAGCAACCGCGGUAAGACAGAGGGGGCGAGCGUUGUCCGGAGUGAAUGGGCGUACAGCGCGUGCAGGCGGACCGAGACGUGCUGUGUGACAACUCACCGCUCACCGGUGAGAGGCCAGGGUAAACGGACGGUCUAGAGGGUUGGAGAGGGAUGUGGAAUACCCGGUGGAGCGGUGAAAUGCGUAGAGAUCGGGGGGAACACCAGAGGCGAAGGCGGCGUCCUGGCCAACAACUGACGCUGAGGCGGGAGAAAGUGGGGAGCAAACGGGAUUAGAUACCCCCGUAGUCCACCCCGUAAUCGAUGUGGAGCAGGUGUCUGGGAGUGAUNGUGCCUCUGGGUACCCAAGCUAACGCGAUA